GACGAACGCUGGCGGCGUGCUUAACACAUGCAAGUCGAACGGUAAGGCCCUUCGGGGUACACGACUGGCGAAUGGGUGAGAAACACGUGGGUGAUCAGCCCUGCACUUCGGGGUAAGCCUGGGAAACUGGGUCUAAUACCGGACAGGACCACUGCGUGCAUGGGUGGUGGUGGAAAGCUUUUGCGGGGUGGGAUAGGCCCGCGGCCUAUCAGCUUGUUGGUGGGGUGAUGGCCUACCAAGGCGACGACGGGUAGCCGGCCUGAGAGGGUGACCGGCCACACUCGGACGGAGAUACGGCCCAGACUCCUAAGGGAGGCAGCAGUGGGGAGUAUUGCACAAUGGGCGCAAGCCUGAUGCAGCGACGCCGCGUGAGGGAUGACGGCCGUCGGGUUGUGAACCUCUUUCAGCACCGACGAAGCGCAAGUGACGGUAGGUGCAGAAGAAGGACCGGCCAACUACGUGCCAGCCGCCGCGGUAA
RNAcentral lists this ribosomal RNA (478 nucleotides) under uncultured bacterium. RNAcentral describes it as "partial 16S ribosomal RNA". It matches the Rfam family "Bacterial small subunit ribosomal RNA", at positions 28 to 523 of the family's 1533-position model. The record is from RNAcentral.